RNAcentral lists this ribosomal RNA (1994 nucleotides) under human gut metagenome. RNAcentral describes it as "bacterial LSU rRNA". It matches the Rfam family "Bacterial large subunit ribosomal RNA", at positions 3 to 2002 of the family's 2925-position model. The record is from RNAcentral.
UCAAGCUACAAAGGGCGCAUGGUGAAUGCCUUGGCAUCAGGAGCCGAUGAAGGACGUGAUAAGCUGCGAUAAGCUUCGGGUAGGCGCACAUAGCCAGUGAUCCGGAGAUUUCCGAAUGUGGGAACACACAUGGGAAACCCCAUGUAUCGUAUAGUGAAUAGCUUCUACGAUAUCGCCAUCCUUCAUAACCAGAAUCAAAUCAGCAUCACGACCUAGAGGAAGAGAAAGAAAAAUCGAUUUCCUUAGUAGCGGCGAGCGAAAGGGAAAGAGCCCAAACCAAAGAUUUAUCUUUGGGGUUGCGGACAGAGCAUUAACGAGAAGUCGUAACUAACUGAACAUAACUGGAAAGUUAGACCGUAGGAGGUAAUAGUCCUGUAGGUGAAAGUUAAGAUAAUCAAGUUCUGAUCCAGAGUACCACGAGACACGUGAAACCUUGUGGGAAGCAGGGAGGACCACCUCCCAAGGCUAAAUACUACCUGAUGACCGAUAGUGAAGCAGUACCGUGAGGGAAAGGUGAAAAGAACCCCGGGAGGGGAGUGAAAUAGAACCUGAAACCGUGUGCCUACAACCGGUCAAAGCCCCAUAUGAGGGUGAUGACGUGCUUUUUGUAGAACGAGCCAACGAGUUACGGUAUGUAGCAAGGUUAAGUACUUAAGGUACGGAGCCGAAGGGAAACCGAGUCUUAAUAGGGCGACUAGUUGCAUGCCGUAGACCCGAAACCGGGUGACCUAUCCAUGGCCAGGUUGAAGCGAGGGUAAAACUUCGUGGAGGACCGAACCACGUUGCUGUUGAAAAAGCAUGGGAUGAGCUGUGGAUAGCGGAGAAAUUCCAAUCGAACUCGGAGAUAGCUGGUUCUCCCCGAAAUAGCUUUAGGGCUAGCGUCGAGGUAAAGUCGUGUGAAGGUAGAGCACUGAAUAUGUGAUGGCCCCAUCUCGGGGUACUGAACAUAAUCAAACUCCGAAUGUCACAAAGAUAUACUCGGCAGUCAGACUGUGGGUGAUAAGGUCCAUUGUCAAAAGGGAAACAGCCCAGACCAUCAGCUAAGGUCCCAAAAUAUAUACUAAGUGGAAAAGGAUGUGGAGAUGUCCAGACAACUAGGAGGUUGGCUCAGAAGCAGCCAUCCUUUAAAGAGUGCGUAACAGCUCACUAGUCGAAUGACUCUGCGCCGAUAAUUUACCGGGGCUAAGUAUAUUACCGAAGCUAUGGAUUUACGCGUAAGCGUGAGUGGUAGGGGAGCGUUCUAUGUGCGGAGAAGCGGUACCGUAAGGAGCCGUGGAGCGCAUAGAAGAGAGAAUGCCGGUGUGAGUAGCGAAACGUGGGUGAGAAUCCCACGCACCGAAAACCCAAGGUUUCCAGAGGAAGGUUCGUCCGCUCUGGGUAAGUCGGGACCUAAGGCGAGGCCGAGAGGCGUAGUCGAUGGACAACAGGUAGAGAUUCCUGUACUUACGGUAUGAAUGAUGGAGUGACGGAGAAGGCUAGCGGAUCCUGCUGAUGGAAAUGCAGGUGCAAGCGAGGUAGCCGACAGCCAGGCAAAUCCGGCUGUCGAAAGGCAAAGGCGUGAGGCGUAUGGAAAGCUGCGGCAAGUACAGAAGUCCGUGAAGCCAGCUUCCAAGAAAAGCUUCUAGUGAUAAUCAUACAGUAACCCGUACCGAAAAUGGACACACAUGGGUGAGGAGAGAAUCCUAAGGUGAGCGAGAGAACUAUAGCUAAGGAACUCUGCAAAAUGACUCCGUAACUUAGGGAUAAGGAGUGCUCAUAGAGAUAUGAGCCGCAGUGAAACGGCCCAAGCGACUGUUUACCAAAAACACAGCUCUAUGCUAAGUCGAAAGACGACGUAUAUGGGGUGACGCCUGCCCGGUGCUGGAAGGUUAAGAGGAUGUGUCAGCGUAAGCGAAGCAUUGAAUUGAAGCCCCAGUAAACGGCGGCCGUAACUAUAACGGUCCUAAGGUAGCGAAAUUCCUUGUCAGGUAAGUUCUGACCCGCACGAAAGGCGU